AGAGUUUGAUUCUGGCUCAGGAUGAACGCUAGCGACAGGCUUAACACAUGCAAGCGAGGGGCAGCAUAAAAGUAGCAAUACUUUGGUGGCGACCGGCGCACGGGUGAGUAACGCGUAUGCAACCUACCUAUCGAGAGGGGAAUAACCCGGCGAAAGUCGGACUAAUACCGCAUAAAACAGGGGCACCGCAUGGUGAUAUUUGUUAAAGAAAUUCGCUGAUAGAUGGGCAUGCGUUCCAUUAGGUAGUUGGUGAGGUAACGGCUCACCAAGCCGACGAUGGAUAGGGGAACUGAGAGGUUGGUCCCCCACACUGGUACUGAGACACGGACCAGACUCCUACGGGAGGCAGCAGUGAGGAAUAUUGGUCAAUGGGCGAGAGCCUGAACCAGCCAAGUCGCCGUGAAGGAAGAAGGAUCUAUGGUUCGUAAACUUCUUUUGCAGGGGAAUAAAGUGCAGGACGUGUCCUGUUUUGUAUGUACCCUGAGAAUAAGGAUCGGCUAACUCCGUGCCAGCCGCGGC
This 519-nucleotide ribosomal RNA is filed under the name uncultured bacterium. RNAcentral's name for it is "bacterial SSU rRNA". It matches the Rfam family "Bacterial small subunit ribosomal RNA", at positions 8 to 518 of the family's 1533-position model. The record is from RNAcentral.